GCUUACGGUUACAACUGCCACUGAGAACGCCAAUCUUCGUCUGAUCUCGGAGUUAAAGCAGGGUUCUGGCCUGGUUAGUAAACUUUGGAUGGGGACCACCUGGUAAUACCAGGUGCUGUAGCUU
This 124-nucleotide ribosomal RNA is filed under the name Astyanax mexicanus (Mexican tetra). The record is from RNAcentral. Lineage: Eukaryota; Metazoa; Chordata; Actinopteri; Characiformes; Acestrorhamphidae.